This 1054-nucleotide long non-coding RNA is filed under the name Manacus vitellinus (golden-collared manakin). RNAcentral's name for it is "lncRNA (ENSMVIG00005008319.1)". The record is from RNAcentral. Lineage: Eukaryota; Metazoa; Chordata; Aves; Passeriformes; Pipridae.
GGCGGUCGCUCGGCUAUGACGUGCCCUGCUCCAGCAUAUCCGGCCCGGCCAUCCCGGCGGGUCCCGCCCGCUGUCUCGGCCUUCCCGGCGCUUCCCAUGGCCCUGCCCGCCGUCCACAGGUGCCUCCAACUCAGUGAUGAAAAUGAACAGUUAGUCAAGAAGGUGAAAAGACUACACAUAAAAAAUAAGGAGCUAGAAAAGAAUCUGGGUCAGAUCCAAGAAAAGUUGCAUCUGCAGCAGUUAAUGCAUGACUGUGGCACAAGCAGAGAUGUUCAGGUUCAAACAGAAACCCAUUUAUGGCAUAAGGGUGGAGACAGCAAGGAUUUUGUUCUAGAGUGUGACAGUGUCAGACUGCUUCAUAUGUAUAAUGAGCUACAGAAACGUUACGUUAGAGAAAGCAAAAAAAACAAGGAGCAAAGUGAAGCAAUUAAAAAUCUCACUAUUAAAAUUCAUGAGCUAGAGCAUAAUCUUCAAGAGCAGAGGCAAAGAAUUGAACAACUGGAAUGUAAAAAGGUUUCUUGGAAAACUAAUGCUGUUUCUGAAAAAAGAAGUCGAACCUCAGAGGGAGGAAUAACUUCUCACAGGGACAUUUCUGAAGAGAAGGAAUCCUGUUGCAGUAAAUAUUUAGAGCUAUUGUUGAAGGAGAUUAAAAAGCUGAAGAAAGAAAAUGGAAAGUUGUCUGCAGAAAAGAGAGCACUAAAAAAUGAAUUAGCUGGAUUAGACAAGGAAUUUUUUGAAGAGGUAGAAGAUCUAAAGCAUGCUGUACAGGAAUGUCUGAAACUGAACUAUGAAAUUUCGUCCAUGGGCAUGUGAAGUAACAUCUUUAUAGUUCUCCUGGAGUCCCUUUUACUGUAACUGUGCCACAGUUUACCUUUAAAGAGUGAGGCUUUCAGACACCCAGUGCUCUUCAGACCCGAGAGGCUGCACGUGGAAGCCGAGUGAUUUUACUGGAAGUAAGGGUUGUGUCUCUGUUCUCUCAGGUGGGACACUUGUUUAUUGUAGGCACUUCCACUGGAAAAGUGUGUUUAUGUCAAGGACUGUAGAAGAAAGAGAC